UUGAUCCAUAUUUUUCCCUCGUCGCCAAACUGUUGUGAUUUUGAUCGAUAAGAAAUAAGGUGACUAGAGUCGAUUUAAAGAAAAAAAAAGUCUUAUUAAGCAACAUCAUCUUUAUUCACAAAACAUAACUGGUACUGCUACAAUGGAACACUCUACAAUGACAAAGGAAAAGGUCACACACACACCAGCAAGACAAAGAGCAAUAAAAAAUAUAUCGCACCACCCUAAUUCGUUCCGUCCUACACUCAGGCACCCCGUCCCUCUGGCAGUUGAAAACCACAACAUAAAGGUUCUUCUUUUCAAUUAUUAUGCAACAGUCAUUGUUAUAAAAAAUUUUCAUAAAUAUGAUAUCAAGAAAAACAUUAGGCCUAGACCAUAAGGCAAUCAGUAGGUCUUUAUUUACAUAAAAACAGUUUAUCCAUAAAAAUAAAUGGUAUAUUGAGUACCGGUGUAUCAUAAUGAGUCCAUACAUACCUGUUUCAGUGAAGAAAGUCUGAAAAAAGACCAAAAAAAAUCCAAAUUUUUGGUGGCACUGCAAACAAGCAAUCCUUCUUUAUGCAUGGAAAGCAACGUUGGUAUAAAUAAUUACCACUUAAACACACAUCAUCAUUAGCGGCCACAUUUCAAACCACAGCUGAGUUCUCUGGGCAAGGGCGCCCCAUAGUGCCUAAUAAUGCAACUACCAAGUGGUUAGCAUACAGACCAAUGGCAAGUAUUUUUCCGACGAAGUGUAUUACAGUCUUAUCUAAUUCUUGAAUUUCAUUCUAAUGUAUUGCAAAAAAGUCUGCUCAUUUUGCUCUUUAGAUGGAUUUGCUUCAGUUCUGGUGCA
Molecule: long non-coding RNA, 829 nt
Filed under: Androctonus crassicauda
Lineage: Eukaryota; Metazoa; Arthropoda; Arachnida; Scorpiones; Buthidae
Source: RNAcentral